GACAAUAUGGUGUAGUGGUUAUCAGGUCUGCCUCCCAAGCCUAAGGUCCCCAGUUCGAACCUGAUUACUGUCA
This 73-nucleotide transfer RNA is filed under the name Hofstenia miamia. RNAcentral's name for it is "tRNA-Gly for anticodon CCC". Lineage: Eukaryota; Metazoa; Xenacoelomorpha; Acoela; Hofsteniidae. The record is from RNAcentral.